UCGCGGCUUAUCACCGGCAGUCCCCUUAGAGUGCCCAACUGAAUGAUGGCAACUAAGGGCGAGGGUUGCGCUCGUUGCGGGACUUAACCCAACAUCUCACGACACGAGCUGACGACAGCCGUGCAGCACCUGUGCACGCUCCCUUGCGGGCACUUUUCUGUUUCCAGAAAAUUCGCCAGAUGUCAAACCCAGGUAAGGUUCUUCGCGCAGCAUCGAAUUAAACCACAUGCUCCACCGCUUGUGCGGGCCCCCGUCAAUUCCUUUGAGUUUCAGCCUUGCGGCCGUACUCCCCAGGCGGGGCACUUAAUGCGUUAGCGACGGCACCCAGGGGGUCGCUCCCCCAGGCACCUAGUGCCCAUCGUUUACGGCGUGGACUAC
Molecule: unclassified non-coding RNA, 378 nt
Filed under: uncultured bacterium
Lineage: Bacteria
Description: contains 16S-23S intergenic spacer region
Source: RNAcentral